RNAcentral lists this transfer RNA (72 nucleotides) under Ovis aries (sheep). It matches the Rfam family "tRNA". Rfam says of the family: Transfer RNA (tRNA) molecules are approximately 80 nucleotides in length. The record is from Rfam by way of RNAcentral. Lineage: Eukaryota; Metazoa; Chordata; Mammalia; Artiodactyla; Bovidae.
UCCAUGGUGGCUAAGACGGUAAAGAAUCUGCCUACAGAGCAGGAGACCUGGGUUCGAUCCCUGGUUUGGGAA